Non-coding RNA from Cordylochernes scorpioides, 70 nucleotides. The record is from the annotation of a GenBank genome assembly. Lineage: Eukaryota; Metazoa; Arthropoda; Arachnida; Pseudoscorpiones; Chernetidae.
UGUCAGAAGUGGGAUUCGAACCCACGCCUACGAUCUGAACACGAGCCUUAGACCGCUCGGCCAUCCUGAU